GUAAACAUAGUUUAAGAAAAACAAUAGAUUGUGAAUCUAUUAAUAGAAGAACUAAGCCUUCUUGCUUACC
Molecule: transfer RNA, 70 nt
Filed under: Eliomys quercinus (garden dormouse)
Lineage: Eukaryota; Metazoa; Chordata; Mammalia; Rodentia; Gliridae
Description: tRNA-His
Rfam family: tRNA
About the family: Transfer RNA (tRNA) molecules are approximately 80 nucleotides in length. Their secondary structure includes four short double-helical elements and three loops (D, anti-codon, and T loops).
Source: RNAcentral